RNAcentral lists this ribosomal RNA (253 nucleotides) under uncultured bacterium. RNAcentral's name for it is "partial 16S ribosomal RNA". It matches the Rfam family "Bacterial small subunit ribosomal RNA", at positions 524 to 776 of the family's 1533-position model. The record is from RNAcentral.
UACGUAGGGGGCAAGCGUUGUUCGGAAUUACUGGGCGUAAAGGGCGCGUAGGCGGCACAGCAAGUCGGGCGUGAAAGCCCGGGGCUCAACCCCGGAAUGGCCUUCGAAACUGCUGAGCUAGAGUACAGAAGGGGCAACCGGAAUUCCCAGUGUAGCGGUGAAAUGCGUAGAUAUUGGGAAGAACACCUGAGGCGAAGGCGGGUUGCUGGGCUGAUACUGACGCUGAGGCGCGAAAGCCAGGGGAGCAAACGGG